GAUGAACGCUAGCGACAGGCUUAACACAUGCAAGUCGAGGGGCAGCGGGGGAGAGCAGCGAUGCAAUCCCGCCGGCGACCGGCGCACGGGUGAGUAACACGUAUGCAACCUGCCCGCAGCAGGGGGAUAAGCCGGAGAAAUCCGGUCUAAUACCGCGUAACACAUUAUGGCGGCAUCGUCAUGAUGUCAAAGAUUUAUCGGCAGCGGAUGGGCAUGCGGCGCAUUAGCUAGUUGG
Molecule: ribosomal RNA, 235 nt
Filed under: uncultured bacterium
Lineage: Bacteria
Description: partial 16S ribosomal RNA
Rfam family: Bacterial small subunit ribosomal RNA
Source: RNAcentral